GCGCGAGUGGUAGAGUGGUACUAUGUCUCCUUGCCAAGGAGAAGGUCGCGGGUUCGAUUCCCGUCUCGCGCU
This is a transfer RNA of Oribacterium sp., 72 nucleotides long. It matches the Rfam family "tRNA". Rfam says of the family: Transfer RNA (tRNA) molecules are approximately 80 nucleotides in length. The record is from Rfam. Lineage: Bacteria; Bacillati; Bacillota; Clostridia; Lachnospirales; Lachnospiraceae.